This 204-nucleotide ribosomal RNA is filed under the name uncultured bacterium. RNAcentral's name for it is "partial 16S ribosomal RNA". It matches the Rfam family "Bacterial small subunit ribosomal RNA", at positions 328 to 544 of the family's 1533-position model. The record is from RNAcentral.
ACGCUCGACACCUACGGGGGCAGCAGUGGGGAAUAUUGCACAAUGGGGGAAACCCUGAUGCAGCGACGCCGCGUGGAGGAAGAAGGUCUUCGGAUUGUAAACUCCUGUUGUUGGGGAAAAAGAGGAUGGUACCCAACAAGGAAGUGACGGCUAACUACGUGCCAACAGCCGCCGGUAAGUACUGAGCGGGCGUGGCGAAGGACG